RNAcentral lists this long non-coding RNA (409 nucleotides) under Homo sapiens (human). RNAcentral's name for it is "LHRI_LNC1338.1". Lineage: Eukaryota; Metazoa; Chordata; Mammalia; Primates; Hominidae. The record is from RNAcentral.
CUUUUAAAUAUACGUAAGCCCCAAAUAAACCAAUUAUACAAACCAAAAAUACCCAACAAAAGCAAACUCUCCUCCUAAGGCAAGUGCGAACAUCAUUGGUAAGUUCUGACGUGGCCUCUGUAUAGUCUGUUGUCCUGGCUCUGAGAAACGUAACUUAAAACCUCUUUGAAACGUCUUAAUCUUUGAGCACCCUAAGUCCUUGAGCACCCAUUCAUUUUUGUCUUUGACCUUCUAAGUGUCAGAUUGGUUUCCAGUUUGAAACCAAACAAACUUCUUUGAAAUUCUUGAAGACGUAGUUCCAGGGGAGCAUAGCAUAGCUUCCAGGUGGCUACUGAAAUGGCUGACAGUUACUAAAGAUGGUGAGGAUAGAGUUAAAAGCAGCAGCACUCCCAUUUUCUGAUGAUGGCAG